UGAAAAUGAGUCUUCGUUUCC
RNAcentral lists this non-coding RNA (21 nucleotides) under Caenorhabditis elegans. The record is from RNAcentral. Lineage: Eukaryota; Metazoa; Nematoda; Chromadorea; Rhabditida; Rhabditidae.